UACAGAGACUGCAAGCGUUAUUCGGAUUCACUGGGCGUAAAGGGUGCGCAGGCGGCCAGGUGUGUUAGGCGUGAAAGCCCGAGGCUCAACCUCGGAAUUGCACCUAAAACUAUCUGGCUAGAGUACUGGAGAGGGUAGUGGAAUUCACGGUGUAGCAGUGAAAUGCGUAGAUAUCGUGAGGAACACCAAAGGCGAAGGCAACUACCUGGACAGUGACUGACGCUAAGGCACGAAAGCGUGGGGAGCCAAAGGG
RNAcentral lists this ribosomal RNA (253 nucleotides) under uncultured bacterium. RNAcentral describes it as "partial 16S ribosomal RNA". It matches the Rfam family "Bacterial small subunit ribosomal RNA", at positions 524 to 776 of the family's 1533-position model. The record is from RNAcentral.